Molecule: ribosomal RNA, 497 nt
Filed under: uncultured bacterium
Lineage: Bacteria
Description: partial 16S ribosomal RNA
Rfam family: Bacterial small subunit ribosomal RNA
Source: RNAcentral
GAUGAACGCUGGCGGCGUGCCUAAUACAUGCAAGUCGAGCGAACGGACGAGAAGCUUGCUUCUCUGAUGUUAGCGGCGGACGGGUGAGUAACACGUGGAUAACCUACCUAUAAGACUGUGAUAACUUCGGGAAACCGUAGCUAAUACCGGAUAAUAUUUUGAACCGCAUGGUUCAAAAGUGAAAGACGGUCUUGCUGUCACUUAUAGAUGGAUCCGCGCUGCAUUAGCUAGUUGGUAAGGUAACGGCUUACCAAGGCAACGAUGCAUAGCCGACCUGAGAGGGUGAUCGGCCACACUGGAACUGAGACACGGUCCAGACUCCUACGGGAGGCAGCAGUAGGGAAUCUUCCGCAAUGGGCGAAAGCCUGACGGAGCAACGCCGCGUGAGUGAUGAAGGUCUUCGGAUCGUAAAACUCUGUUAUUAGGGAAGAACAUAUGUGUAAGUAACUGUGCACAUCUUGACGGUACCUAAUCAGAAAGCCACGGCUAACUACGUG